ACUCAAAGGAAUUGACGGGGGCCCGCACAAGCGGUGGAGCAUGUGGUUUAAUUCGACGCAACGCGCAGAACCUUACCAGCCCUUGACAUCCCGGUCGCGGACUCCAGAGAUGGAGUUCUUCAGUUCGGCUGGACCGGAGACAGGUGCUGCAUGGCUGUCGUCAGCUCGUGUCGUGAGAUGUUGGGUUAAGUCCCGCAACGAGCGCAACCCCCGUCCUUAGUUGCUACCAUUUAGUUGAGCACUCUAAGGAGACUGCCGGUGAUAAGCCGCGAGGAAGGUGGGGAUGACGUCAAGUCCUCAUGGCCCUUACGGGCUGGGCUACACACGUGCUACAAUGGCGGUGACAAUGGGAUGCUAAGGGGCGACCCUUCGCAAAUCUCAAAAAGCCGUCUCAGUUCGGAUUGGGCUCUGCAACUCGAGCCCAUGAAGUUGGAAUCGCUAGUAAUCGUGGAUCAGCACGCCACGGUGAAUACGUUCCCGGGCCUUGCACACACCGCCCGU
This 501-nucleotide ribosomal RNA is filed under the name uncultured bacterium. RNAcentral's name for it is "partial 16S ribosomal RNA". It matches the Rfam family "Bacterial small subunit ribosomal RNA", at positions 899 to 1397 of the family's 1533-position model. The record is from RNAcentral.